This 267-nucleotide long non-coding RNA is filed under the name Hordeum vulgare. Its description in RNAcentral is "long non-coding RNA (HVUL_LNC006380)". The record is from RNAcentral. Lineage: Eukaryota; Viridiplantae; Streptophyta; Magnoliopsida; Poales; Poaceae.
CGACCCGCGCCCAGGCAGGACUCCUCCCCCCGCGCUGCUAGCUCUAGCACUCGUGCUCUGGCCCCUGGUCGCUUCGCCUCGCCGCCGAUCACCCUGCAGCGACGGCGCAACUGCCGCGCCCCCAGCCAGCCCUGGACGCUGGGUGCCUUCCUCUCCGCGGCCACCAAACAGCUCGACGCCGUUCUGCCCUCUCCCGGGAAGCGGCAGCGCCCCGCCCUCAACUUCAGUCCCAGGAGGGGACGUUCCGCAGCCGCCGACAAAGCCUCG